GUGGAUUUUCAGCCGACACGCUUUGUCGUACUGCUUGUUACAGCCUGGGAACGAGCAAGAGAACUGCUCCUGCUCCCUGAAGUGGGCCCGAUUGUGGGAGAACAGCGCGCUCACUGUGAUGAACGUCCUUUCACAGCCGGGGAAGUCGCAGCGGUAGGGCCGCUCGGGCUCCAGGUGGCUGCGGCGGCGGUGGGCGGCGAGGCGGGCGGCGCUGGGGAAGCGCUGCCCGCACGCCUCGCACUUGUGCGCCGCCUCCUGCUCGUGGGCGCGGCUGUGGGCCCGCAGGUUGUAGACGGUGGUAAAGCGCUUGGAGCAGCCGGGCGCGGCGCAGGCGAAGGGCCGCAGUUUGUCGUGCGAGUGCAGCUCUGUUCUGGCUCUCCAGUUUUAAGCAGAAGGAAGAACUAACCCAUGCUUGUGGUGGAAAUCAGGCUGUGGGCCCUUCGAGCGCUCCCAGCAGAUGGUGCUGUGAUCCUUCCGGCGGGCAAAUUACUUCCCCAGAGCUAUUCUGCACCAAAUCUCUGACAGCAAAGCAAGGCGAGCUGCUGUCCAGCCCCAGGUGGCUGCUGGUGCUUCCUGCAGUACAGCUGUGUGUACACACGGAGCUCCUCGCUGCGGCUUCAGAGCUGUCUGUGCAGCCUGAGUGCUUGAGCUCAGCCUCCCCUGAAAUCCCCCUGAGCCGUCACAGGGCCCGGGUCAGCCCUGCUGGUGGCUGCCGCUGGCCCUCCUGGUCUCACUGCAGAGGUGUGUGCAGUGCACUCUUCCUUCACUUCCUUCCUUUUCCUAGGAGGAAAAUGGCCUUAAGUUGCACCAGGGGAGGUUCAGGUUGGACGUUAGGGAACAAACUUUCUUCUCUGAAAGAGUGGUGAUUCACUGGCCUGCGUGGAAGAAAGGCCUGCAUGGGCCUUUAGUGUUCAACCCAGAGGUGCGUCCCUGAUGGGAGGAUGUCAAAUCAACUUGUAGCAAGCGUCAAACCUCACUACAGAAAUUAAUCUCCUCUGCUAUCUACUGUCUGGUCUGAUACAGUGACUGCAGAUGUGUGUUUUGAAGGAGACUGCUCUGCCUGUAUUGAGCUUUUCCAGCACUGAGGUCAUCUGCCUAGAAAUGAUAUCAGCGUCCCCACAGAGUGAGGCAGAACAACUGUCCAUUCAUAGACCCAGUUUCUCUGCAAACAGCACAAAAACAAGGAGGCUCAGCAGAGCUCGGGGGGUUUUUGCCCUGGCCUGGCCUAUGGCUUCUGUGUGCUGGAAAUCUGCUGCUUCAUCCCAGCAGGGGGUGACAGGUUACUGUUAUCUCAGUGCUAAAUAACACAAAGGUGUACAAUCCGUAAUAAUAUUUCUUCAACAUUUUCUGUGGUAGAUUUUUCAACUCAGAAUUAAGAUGACUACUUUCCUAUACUUCCAUAGUACAGAAAGCCAUUAUAUUUCCUGGAUGUUCCCUAUGACAAAAGGUGCCCCAGUUCUUUCGGGCUACAACAGCUAGAAUGGUUGUAUGAGAUACAGCUACCAAGAUACCAACCCAGUGUGAUUAUUAACAGGUAAUGCCUAACAUGUGUUAAAGAAAGGCUGUCAAAUCUGGCUGGCAACUACUCACAUCUCAGUGGUGUAACUUGUCAAUGUGUGCUUUUUUCCACCGUGUAAAGCAAUUCUGGUGAACUGCAAAAUGCACUUCACAGAAGGUUUGGUUGCAAGCAGAUGCCAGCCUCUCACUGUUGAUCUGGAGAUGUAUGCUGUAUGUGAACAGAGUAAAGAACUUAUUUCUGAAAGUAAAUUAAAAAAAAACCUCAGCACACCAGGUUUACUGUUUUCUUUAACUGGCACCAGAAGCAAUGCAUGGAUGCAGCAAGUGCACAUUUUAAGAGCCUGUGGCAUUUUGGUACUGAAUGUUAUUUGGUUUCUUGAGAUCCUGCAGUCCAAAGUUCAUCACUCCUCACCUGCAGCAGCCAGAGCAGGUCUCCGUGAAUAAGCUCCCUGCCUAUCACAGAAUGCAUCAGUGAGUUACUGUUAACACAUAUAUAAUGGGAGGCUGAAGUGCAAAACAAGACAUUUCUCUCAGUUGCAUUUAGACAGCUCGAUUUAUUUUUUAAUUUUAUUUCAAUGGACAAAAUUUCAGCUCCUUUCCUUACCAGUGAAAAGGCUGCUCCUGCCAUCAGUGGACCUGUCACGGGCAGACACAGAUCUGCCCUAUUAAUGAGUUAAAAGGAAUAAACUCACGUGGCAGAGACAAUUGCAAGGCUUUUAUCGUUAGCACAUUUUUUCAUACGUUUCUGCCAGGAUAACACUGCAGUUGGAAUACCACUAACUUUUGAGGGCUUGUUCUAAGAUGUUCUCAUCCACCACUUUUUGAGGAAGAGUCACCUUCAGUGCAGCAUUGUCUUUCAUUGCUUGGCAGAUCGUUUCGUAUGCAUAGUCAUUACCCGACCAGCAGCGCCUGGCAACUCCAUUGGAAACAUCCCAGCUGAGCAUCAUCUUAGCUCGUUCUUCGGCCUCCGUGGACCCAUCCAAAACCA
RNAcentral lists this long non-coding RNA (2506 nucleotides) under Gallus gallus (chicken). Lineage: Eukaryota; Metazoa; Chordata; Aves; Galliformes; Phasianidae. The record is from RNAcentral.